Molecule: long non-coding RNA, 2096 nt
Organism: Haplochromis burtoni (Burton's mouthbrooder)
Lineage: Eukaryota; Metazoa; Chordata; Actinopteri; Cichliformes; Cichlidae
Exons: 3
Source: RefSeq, a predicted model, not a curated record
GGGCCAUUUGCUAAACCUGCAGCACACACUGCUUUCUAUGUGAAAGAACCAUUCUGUGAGAAAAACUCUACUGCUCAUUUGAUCUAUGACCUCUGAAAAACAGUUCAUGAUUUCCAUUACUAUUCAAUUAUAAAAAAAAAAGUACAUUCCCUGGGUUAUACAGCACUGAUAUGCAAAGCUUAAUUGUAUAUCUGUAACUCUAGAACUGCAGUAUUUAUAGUUUUCUUAGUUUAAUAUUUCAAUUUCAUAUUCUUCUUCUAAGUAUAAAAUCCCUUUUGUUAUAUUUGUCUCAUUAAUUUAACUGAAAUACACUGAAAAUUGCUCACAAAUUAAGGUUUAUGUGUCAAUACAAAUGCAGGUUUUAUUGCUGGGAGCUUCCCGUGAUGCACUGACUAUUUCUUCUUCCAUGACACUAAUGUUUUGUCUUUGCUUCAUCAUUUAUGUACUGUACUGUAUCCCCAGUUUUCCAGCGAGGGCUGCGUACAUUUUGAUUGCAUUAACGUUUUUAUCCAGCCUUUAUGUGCAAUAAACAGAAGCUGCAAAAUUCAAAUGUAGUUACUGACAGGCCAAAGUGCAACAGGGAAGAGAUUAAAUGGGAUCAAAGGGAGUGGCAUUAUAAAUUCCUUCCUUCCUGAGAUUCAAAUCCUCCAAUCAAAACGGUGCCAGCAAUGCAAAGACAGAUUUCUUUAAAAGAUUGGACACAAUAACAAAGUCAGUCGUUUAUUUAUUAAAGCACUGUUAAUAAUUUUAGUUGCUGCUAUUUCAAAUAAAUGUUUGGUACAACAAAUUUCUCCGUGUUCUGUCUCAGGCUUUAUUCGGGCCCUGGUACUAGAGCUAUGGUCUGUUCUUGAGUGCAGCAGUGACGACAUCAGAGUGGUCCGUCCCAAACCAACUCCCAUUGACCCCACAGAUAGGAGUUGCAUUAAGUCCUUCCUGUACUUGGUCAACCUCCUCUCCUCUUCCCAGUCGGUGUGGCAACUGCUGGGCCGACAGUCUUUGGCCAACAAAAGCGAAUACACCCUGAGGGAGAUGCCAACCUCCAUACCUGAUUUGAUUGACAGACUGAUUGCCGUGAAUUCGGAUGGGAAGAUUCAUUCUCUCUUCCACUACGAAGAGAGUCACACAUUCGGCCUAAGGUGGGAUUCAUUAUUUUUUUCAUAUUACUUAACAUCAGUGGGGAAGUAGACGAUAUCAGAUUAUCACCUGGUGACUGCACACACACUUCAGCCUCUGGCAAUAGGAGACUGGCAUGGUGACGUAAUCGGCCUUAAAAUGCGGCCUUUAAGGCUGCAGACCCUGAAUUGGGAUACAGCCUCUGAAUCGCUGCAUCUUGUAGCUGUGUCGUCUUAAAUUGGUCAUGUGAUUUUGACGCGCCGGCGCGUCCGGCAACCCCAGAGGUUUAACUUAAUAUUUAAGUGUCUCUUGGUUUUAGACUAGUUGUUUAGUCUAAUUUGAUGUUUUAAACCAGAAAAGGAAGAAGAGGGCUUAGAAUUACAGGUAAGAACUGCUCAGUGGUAUGUGAUAAACUGUAAAUGUAAAGCUUACAGGUCAGUCCUCAUGUUUUUAAAUCAGAUUUUGAGUCUGUACAUGGCACAUUAUGCUUUUGCAUGUUGUGAAAUGUGCUGCAAAACAAACUGAGGUAAACUAACUGGUUUACUGUGAUGGAUUUAAAGUGCGUGUGACUGGUGCGCAGUGGCUGUGGUGCUCACGGUCAGAGUUCAGUCACAAAGAGGGUAACAGAGAUGAAUUUAAAGUUAAGGUGAUGGUGCUUAGAUUCAUUCACAGACUGAAACCUUCACACCAACUUUAUCCUGUGUCUCUUAGUUUUAGACUAGUUGUUUAGUCUAUUUUGAUGUUUUAAACCAUAUCACAGGGUUUUUACUUCACCAUUUACGGGGUUUUAACAAGCAAACAAAAGACAGAUCGUGAUGUUUGAAAAUGUUUUGGAAAUAUUCUUUAAAGAUUAGAUGUAAAAUACGCAGAGGAUAAAUUCAAUUGGUUUAUUAGUUUAUUACAUAAGUUGAAAAAAAGUUAAACAAGUAAAUAAAGAAACAACGUAAAAGAAAAGUAAACAAAACAAAUCGGUAAAUAAAGGA